Molecule: long non-coding RNA, 1964 nt
Organism: Nilaparvata lugens (brown planthopper)
Lineage: Eukaryota; Metazoa; Arthropoda; Insecta; Hemiptera; Delphacidae
Exons: 5
Source: RefSeq, a predicted model, not a curated record
UUUCAGCCAUAAUUUGAGGUUAACUUGAAGUUGUUUCUGUAAUUGCGUUUUUUGAUUUCGUAGUUCGAGGUGUGUCACCUUGAUAGGGGAAGGGGAAUUGAAAUAGUGCUAUUCUCUUCAUACUGGCAGAAUGACUUUCUGAGAAACAUCAAUGCGUCCCGUGAAAUCAAUGCUGACAGUUGAAAAUGAAUCUUUGUACAGUGGUAUGGGUUGUGGAUAGUCUCAAACCCGAAACCUUUCUUGCUUCGUGUUUGUUCGUAUCUAUUCGUGUCUUUGUUCUUCCAAAUUUCAACUUCCUUGUUCCUUCUUCAUUUGAGAUUUGACCUGUUGGUGUGUUGUAGCUGGUUUCUUGUCGUGACUUGUGCUUAUUUUAUUGUAAUUUAACGUAUUAAAUUAUCAAUUCAGUGCUAGAAAGUGGUGAAAUGUGGUUUAUUCUUAAUUUUAUCGGUUGUAGAAUGAGAUUUGUAAUGAUUGUGCUCAUAAGUUCUCGUAUUUGAAAUCGACUUUAUAGAACGAACUUAGCAGAAAACCAUUUUGAUAUCACAAGGUAUGCAGCAGAGGUUGGUGGAGAUGGAGAUUGAUGACUGCAAUGCAUGGAUGCUGAUGUGAGCUGGGCGGGCGGGCAUCGUGACGUCAUCCCACCCUCCUGUCAUCACCCGAAGACUUCUAGUAGGAUAUGACAGGUUGAACGAGUGAUUGAUAAAUGGGGAUCCAGCCUUACACCUCCUCCCCUCUUCACCGCUGUGGGACGAAGCUCCAGACUAGUUCCAAUCAGUGAGAAGAGUGAGAAGGAAAGAGGAUAGGAGAACAGUGAGAAUAGCGAAGUGAGCUCUGAGAGGUGCUUGGAGAAGGAUUGUUACUCAUUUGCAGACUGGGUCGCUGUUGCUAGAGUGAGAGAUGAGAGAAGGAGAGCUGCUUCAUCAUCAGGACAUGGAGGAGAGAGACAGACAGACAACGCCAAAGGAUGGCCUCCUCAAACGGAAAAGUGGGAAGAAGAAGAAGAAGAUAGAUAGAAGACGACGCAGCUAAGAAGAUACAUUUUUACAAAAUAGUGGGACUCUAGUGUAAGAGUUUAUAUAAAGUGAAAACUACAAACAUUGAUAUUGAAAAGUGAAUUAUUGGUGUGAAGUGAUAGAUAGUGAAAGGACUCGAAUUUACUUUCAUUCUCAAAAGACGUUGAAUUGUUUCAUAUUUUGUUAGUUUGUGAUGUUGUUGAUAUUGUGUAUGUUUUGCUGUAAAUAAUAAAUGCCUGUAGGGUGGGUGUCCUAGUGGGGUAUUUUCAGGCAUCGCGGAGGCAGCUGGACGGACGGACUACGCAGUACUUCAAUCAAGGUAAAAGUCAGCUCUCGACCGAUUCUAAUAGUUCAUUCUAGUUCCUUUUUUAAAUUCUUAUUUCUUGAAGUUUUAUUUUGAUUCAUUUUUUCCAGAUCUGAAUCAUUGUUUCCUAUUCCAGUGAAUUAAUCAUAUUAUUAAUUCACUAAAAUAGGAGAAAAAUAAUCAAUUUUGAAUUUCAUUUCUCAAUCUAUUUAAAUCCUAAAUUUUAUUAUUUCUCUUGUUGAACUGUUAGAUCGGUCCUGGGCGACUUCUGUGGAAUUGGUAAUUGCAUGUCUAGACCAUCACCCCCUAAGUUUUUUCUCAGCUUUUAUACUUUUGAAUUUGUUUCGAUUUUCAAUUGCUUUGGAGUUUUUCUUUAGUUGUUUCCUUUUAUUUUUUUGAACUUCCUGCUCUUUAUUUGUUUCAGUUUCUAAUUUUCUGUUGCUUUGGAGGCGAACCUUCAGUUCAAAUUCAAUAUCAAAGUAUAUGUCGAUAAGGGAUGUUUUGUUUGGUUCUUUUAAUUUCUUCAAAACUGUCCCCGAUUUUAUUUCAGUUUUUUAUAUUCAGUUUGGGAUUUUUCUUCAGUUGUUCCUUUUCAUUUCUUGGAAACUAUCUCCAUCUACUUAGAAUUUUUUAUAUAUUAUUGUAAU